GUUACUGCUAUCGAGGUUCGACUAAGCCUGCGAGUCGAAUGUAGCAAUACAUGGCGUACUGCUCAGUAACACGUGGACAACCUACCCUCCGGACGGGUAUAAACCCGGGAAACUGGGUAUAAUCCCCGAUAGAUCUCGGUCGCUGGAAAGCCCCGAGAUCGAAAGCUCCGGCGCCAGAGGAUGGGUCUGCGGCCUAUCAGGUAGUAGUGGGUGUAGCGUACCUACUAGCCUACGACGGGUACGGGUUGUGAGAGCAAGAGCCCGAAGAUGGAUUCUGAGACACGAAUCCAGGCCCUACGGGGUGCAGCAGGCGCGAAAACUUUACAAUGCCGGCAACGGCGAUAAGGGGACCUCGAGUGCCAGGUUACAAAUCUGGCUGUCGUGAUGCCUAAAAAGCAUUGCAUAGCAAGGGCCGGGCAAGACCGGUGCCAGCCGCCGCGGUAACACCGGCGGCUCGAGUGGUAACCGUUAUUAUUGGGUCUAAAGGGUCUGUAGCCGGCCGG
This 503-nucleotide ribosomal RNA is filed under the name uncultured archaeon. RNAcentral describes it as "bacterial SSU rRNA". It matches the Rfam family "Archaeal small subunit ribosomal RNA", at positions 23 to 532 of the family's 1478-position model. The record is from RNAcentral.